This 293-nucleotide unclassified non-coding RNA is filed under the name Glomeraceae sp. RNAcentral describes it as "partial contains 5.8S ribosomal RNA and internal transcribed spacer 2". The stretch from base 1 to 65 matches the Rfam family "5.8S ribosomal RNA", at positions 84 to 154 of the family's 154-position model. Lineage: Eukaryota; Fungi; Glomeromycota; Glomeromycetes; Glomerales; Glomeraceae. The record is from RNAcentral.
GUGAAUCAUCAAAUUUUUGAACGCAAAUUGCACUCUCCUCGGAGAGUAUGCCUGUUUGAGGGUCAGCCUAUAAAAAAUCGACAUCGUUGCUGUUUCGCGGUGGCGUUCGUCGGGAAUUUGGGCAUCUUUAAUCUUUUGGUUUUAAGCGACUUAAAAUUUUCUUUUUGGUUUCAUGAACGUUUCUAAGAUUUAUUUCUUUACACGUUUAAGGUAUCGAUUUUUAUUAGACGUGACCAUCAUAUCGGAUCUCGCCCAUAAUUUUUCAGUAACUGACCUCAGACCGGUAAGACACA